Long non-coding RNA from Anser brachyrhynchus (Pink-footed goose), 1684 nucleotides. Lineage: Eukaryota; Metazoa; Chordata; Aves; Anseriformes; Anatidae. The record is from Ensembl.
AUGUACCUCUGCAUUGACGUCCUCCCAUGGGCCUGUCCAGCAGGAACAAGCAGCUCCUGGAGGCGUGGUCAGCUCAUCGAGCACUUAGACCCACUGAUGGUGGUCUCCAGGCCGUGUAACAAAACUCCAUGCUCACCAUUCCGGCGUUCGGCACACAAAAAGCUUUUUGACAACCACGAUGCAUCAGCUUCGACACCACCUCAUCUCCCUGCCUCCUUGCCAGCCCACGUCCAGCGCAGCUGGGACCCACCGAUCCCCCCCGUCUCCCUCUCCUGCCCCCCGAGGUGCCUCUCUGCAGCCCGUGCCACCUGUCUCCAAAGCAACCAACCACUUCUGCGGGGAGCGGAGCUGCCUCUCGCUGCCGCCCACGCGCCAUGCCUCCCGUCACGGCUCUUCUCCAUCGCCAUAGAAACCGGCCCCCCUCUGCGGUCCCACCGAGUCCGACCUGGUAUUUGCUUGAUCGAUCUCCGUACUUUAUUCCCAGCGCUGAUGCCAGCUUCUAAGAAUAGAAGCACCUUGCAGGUUAUAUCCCCCGCCAGGGCCGAGCUGCUUCUCGUUCGUGUGUGCGCGAGUGUGGAGGGGGUGGGUUUGGGUUUGUUUCCCUCAGUUCUAGAAACAGCAAGAAAUAAGUUUGCGUCUUGCCACCACUUGCACAAAAAACGUUUAGGUCUACCUGGGAGCUGAAACAUUUGUUUCACAUUUGGUUUUAAUGGCUUAAUCCCUCAGGUAGCAACAAGGGACAGAGGUGACAGCUGAAGAUUAUAUUGCUUUUUUCCUUCUGCCUCUUUAAUUCCCUUCAAAGCAGGUUAGUUCCCAGGACGAGAUGAUAUUACUUUUCCGAACUUCUCAAGGUUUCCAGGAGGCUGAGAACAAUCCCAUUAACCACUCCUUGCUUCCCACCAGCACCCCUGACCAAACAGCACAAGUCUGUUUUGUUUGGAAAUCUGGAAGAGAUCUGGAAAUCUGGAGGAGACCCGACACGUGCCAAGACACUCGCAUCCCCUCCGAGCCCUGGGGAAACCUCAGAUUUGGGCCAGGUCUUCCCCACUUGGAAGGUAAGAGAAGACGCAGGUGGGUGAACGUCUGGCCUGUCUGCACCAGACCCACCUCGCUCCAAAUUUCGGAGUGUGAGAAUGAAGUCUCCUCCUUACUCUUGGCAUUGAUGAAAAUCUCACCCCAGCUCUGCGUCCUGUUUCUUCCUGCUGUGUUUCUUGGUUGUAUAUGAGAGGUUGGUGGGAACAUGCAAGGAAACGAGGAGGCAAUAUUGGUUAUAGAGCCUGUUUAGUAUGCACUGCUUUCUCCCUAUUAAAUUAACCUUAUACCCUAAUCACAUCAUCUCUCAAUCUCUCUUGUUACCAUAAACCAAACAGAUUGAACUACUCAUGGGUAAUGACUUUUUUUCCAAGCCCUCGUAUCAUUCCUGUGGCUCUUCUCUUCACCCCUUCUGCAUUGUGCAUUCCCAGGAGCAAUUUCAGCCUCUCAGCAUGAGCAUCCUUGGCUUCAGCUUCACUUUCGCAUCCCACUCCAGUUUGAUAACUCUAAGUCAGAAGGUUCACGGUUUUUGCAUUUUGCCUCUGCGAUUAAAAGCUCCUCAUGACGGGGGGCGAAAUUACGGGGCGCUGCCUUCAUUUGGAAUUACUGAGCUGAUCUUCACUCUUCACCUGGUGCGAAUUAAUCUCUCAGG